AAUGUGAAAAUUAGAGUUUAGCAUAGUUUAUUUUCAGUAAGACAUCUAAUUAUUUCAUGUUGUCAACAUUAAUUUUUGUGCAUAUCAUUACAAAUUAUAUGGACUAACCAAGAAAUUCAUUAAAAGUACAUCUAUGUAAAAUGUUGAUGUUUUAAAUAGAAUGGCAAGUUGGGAUAGUCUUAUAUUUGAAAGAAAACUAAGUACGGAUAUUUUACUGUAUUUGAAAAAGUUAUAGUAUUGCCUUGCAGGGUUAAAAAGUGUCCAUUUAAACAACAUAGGAGUGGAUGGUGGGAUACAAGGUGUUUUUUUUUCUUUUAGGACCUUUUAAGACCUUUACAUGUUCAAUUGAAUUAAAUUAUGUUGGAAUCAUAUCUCUCCUUACAAAGAUGUUUACAAAUAACACAGUAGAAGUAUUGUAACUGUCCCCAUGCUACUGAGAAAAUUUUACUAGUAUGACUGUAUAGUAAAAUCUAUUGUGAUAGUAGACUUUUCAAGAUAAUAUGUGACUAAUUUCUCCUGUAUGACUACAGGUGGCAGUGCAGAAGCCAAGAAUAAAAACUGGCAGAAGUUAUUUUUCUCUAUAAGAAAAUGAAGAGCGUGUACACAUGACUAAGCACAGGAACCUGAAAAACCACAGGAAUGAAAUGCUGAUAGCUUUUUACUUUGGAGAGUUACUAAGAAAAAAAAUCAUUCAGUCAGUCUAUAACAAAGGCAUUUUUAAAUCUGAUUUAUCUAGCUGCGAUGAAGAAUUUUAGUUAAUGGAAGCUGCUGCAGUCUGUCCCAAGGAUUAUUCAGAAUGGUUUAGAAACUGCACGUCACAGAAAGCUGGAGGUCUUGUCCAAGGCAAUGGUUUUGUUGGUGUUACUACAGUAACCUGGGCGAGAGAAAGUAUGCUGAAAUUGAACUGUUUUCUCACAAAUUGCUGUUGAGCACAAUGGGGCUGAAGUGAACCGUUGUGCCAGGUUCCACCUAUAAUCCCUACUCAACUAUAGUUAAUGGGACUUGUGUGAACUGAUGUAAGCAUCAAGCCCAAAGGCAUGGGGGACUUUUACUCGGCUUUUUUUUUUAAAGGGGAAUGAAGAGAGAAGAAAGCAGUUCAGUUGUUAAAUGUGAAAGGUGAGGUUUUUCCUUCCCAUGGUUACAUUACUAAUACCAAUAAAACUACUUUGGAAGUUAUCUUGAUGGUAUGACAGCCAAAAUGGCCCCUUUGUGUUUCUCUUGCCACAAAAGAAAACUCUUUAUGACCAGCAUUCUCUCUAGACACUUUCUUGUUAGCCAUAAGUCAUUUGGAGAACUACUUAUGUCAGAAGUUCCUUUGAAAAAGAGCUUGCCUAUAAUGAAUGGCCUGCGUGUUUUACAGAGCAAUAUAUUGAAACACUUAAGUGCAAGGGGACACGCCAUUUUAGAUGAGAAACCUAUAAAUGAAUGAGCAAUUUUGCUCCCUUUUAGUGUAAAUACAAAUGAAGGUUUUUAAUAAGUUGAACUAUGUUAAAGCUACCAUAAUUGUAACAUGAUUUAUUGCAGUCUUCCUUAAUCACUUUUCUUCAGACUAGGGAAUCUAUUUUCUGCCUUUUGAGUGGUGGGGGAAAUUAUUGUAACAGAGAUAAGCAGCUUUAUGAACUGCCUUUUGCAGAAAAACUUAUAUAAUCUGAUAGAUAUGACAUACAAAAAACGUACCACACACAUGUUCCUCAUGGCAAUCUAAAUAGCCUGUUCCACAUUAUUCAUUACUUGUAACUAGUUUGCAUUGUAUACUUUCAGUUACUUUAUGGUCUCUUGUCACUUGUUAAACAUUUCAGUCUGAAUUGCAACUGAUUCCAAGUUAAUGGUAUGCAAUCCUAUGGUAAAAAAUCAGCAUAUGAUUCUACACUGAGUGUUCACAUCUACUAAAAAGUUCCUUUUUGUGGACCAGAGCACCAGGAGAGCAUGCCAGGGUCACGAAACCAAAUAAAAAUUUAUAAAGUGAAUAAAUAGUUUAAACAAAUCAAGUAGAAAACUUUAAUAGUUCCUUUUUGAAAAGGCUGGAGGACCACAAUCAUCAGGAUGUUAUGUUUUGUUAUGCCAAAGAUAUUCUGAAUUCCUAUUAGGCUCAAGGGCAAUGGUAGAGGAAGAGUUGGUGAAUAUUUGAGUGGCAUGAGUACUCUUAAAAGACCGUAGUUUCGCUCCAGGAUCCUGGUAUUAGUUGCCUCAUAUAAUUGUUUUUGGAUCCUCCCUAUGGUAUAUGUUCAAUCCUCUACAGUGUUAUUGGUACUUAAAACAGGAAUGUGCAUCUGAUGUUUCUAGAGUGCAAAUUCCUAUAAUUUACAGUUUCUCCUAGACUCAAGAAUAACCCAUCCUCUCAAUUGUGAUGCUUUUCAGGGAAAUGAUUCAGUACUCUUUAGUGGCUUAAAACAAUGGAUUAAUGACACACCUAUUUUAAAUGGGAUGCCUGUUUUUUGCAAGUCUAUAAAAGAUGUGAAGUGAUAUGUGGUGUAGUAUACAUUCUCUAUUGUAUAGAGAUUCAUUCACUUCAUGGUAUUUUCUUGCUCUAUAAUAGCUGCUAAAUUAGUCACCAUAAGAAUGUGAUUUGUUAAAUACUUAGUUUUAAAACAAUUCAGAAAUGAAAGUGUCUGGCAGCAUAAUAUAUUCCUAGGAGUUUCUCUGAUAAUCUGAGCCACUGUUGAAAUGGUAGAUUUCAUUCACAGUUUGCCAGUUAAAUGAACUUCACCAUAUUUUUCCAUAUUAGGCAUAACUACAUGAGCAGAAGAGCUAAGGUCUUCUUAGCAAUGGGUUUGUUGUGUCCUCAGUUCAUGUAUUAAAUUGCUGGUUCACCAUGCAAAUAAAAUAGUAAGAGGGGUUAUGCUUUCUUUCAUCCCCCAUGUAUUGAAUAGUAGGUGCUCAGUGGAGGUAAGGAGUUGAAUGUUCACAUGGGCACAUACAUUCUGUAUCAGUAUAGCAUAGUUACAACCUGUCUGCUCAUAGAGGAUCUGUGUACUUGAUUGGACAGCUGACCAACAUGAAUGCAUUUUGGCUGCCUUGUAUUUCUGACCAUAUCUUGGGCUGUACUCUCCAGACUGAUUAUGCAGUGAAUAGGGCACAGCAAAAUGAGUCAGUUCCUGUUCUUUUGGCUGAAGCUUCAUUAAGAGUUCUCAAGAAAAAUUUCAGAAUGUGGAUGUGGUCAACAUAGUCAUUUUCCUGGCAUCUCAAAGGAAACCCACAUAAACUGUGAAUGUGAACUUUGAACUAUUAUCCCUCCAAUAACAGAAAAGGAAAAGCAUUUUGUGGGAAUAUUCACUUGCAGCUCACCCUAUGUCACAACCUGCACAUUUUAUAUAGAAAUAAUUCUUAAUAGCUGGUCUAUAUUGUAUCUUUCAUGAUAGAUAUCAACUAUAUCCCAUUUUCUCUUCCAAAAACACCAGUUUGGGGUAGAAGACGAAUAAGAACAAUGCUUUUCAUCUGUUUCAUAUUCAAGCCAAAAUUUUUUUGUUUUUGUUUUUAAAGGCAUUUUAGAUUUUUAGUUUUCAUUGUAACUACUUGCUGAACUACAUAGAAAUCUGAAACCAGCCCAUCAGUUCCACACUUAGUGUUUGUAUCAUCAUGGCUAAAUAUUUUAGAUGAAAAUGUCACUGUCAAAACAAAAACUUUAAAAUUGAGAAACUUUACAGCAAAGCGGCUUUUAAAAUUGCAACAGAUUGAUUUUUAAUAGGCAAUGAAAUAGUCAGUCAUAUUCCAAAGAAGUCAUUUUAAAUAGUAAGUGAAGAUUAUUUUUGAAAAUCUAAACUAUUGUAACAUUCUUUCACUGAUUUUCUUACGAAAUUCAUGUAUUAGAGCCUGGUUACUAAGUAUUUUACCAUAUGAAUUCAGGGACCACAGAUCUCCACAGUCCUAGAGAGAAGUACUGCAUUUUAUGUUCAACAUUUGAUCACUAUCUUGAUGUGCUGCUGUUUGUAUCGCAGUAACAUUCAGAAGCUCCCUUCGUGGACUAGGGACCGUACAAACAUAGUACAAAAAAAUAAAUAAAAAAUUUCUCCCUCCUGAAGAAUUUACAGAAGAACAAAAAAAUGACCAUACUGCACCAGCUAGUUUAGUAUCUGUCUUCCAGCAGUGGCCAGUACAAGAGGCUUCAGAGGAAAUUAACAGAACAGGGCAAUUUAUCAAGUGAUCCAUCCCCUAUUUUCCAGUCAGAGGUUCAGAAAAACCACAGAAAUUAGCAUAGUAUACAUACCCUGAGAAAAGUACUGCCUGCAUCCUCCAUGAACAUAUCUGAUUCCUUUUUUUUCAGCCCCAUUAUACUUUUGGUAUUCACAGCAUCCUCUAGCAAGGAGUUCCACAGAUUGACUGUUUGUUUUGUGAAAAAGUCCAUUUGUUUGUUUGUUUGUUUUUGUUUGUUAGCUACUGCCUGUUAAUUACCCGAAUAUUACAUUUUAUUAUAUCACUGAUUUUUAAGUGGUUGCUACUUUAGAAAAUUGUUGCUUUCUUUGCUGUGCUUUUUUCUUUUGUAGGAAGAAAUGGAAGGACUAGCUAUACAGAAGUUUGUAAGCUGUUUAGGUCAGGGCUGUCUAGGUGUUGGCACAGUAGGAGCCUGGUCUAUGAGUGGGGUUGCUAAGCAGUAUGGCAGUAUAAAUAAUAAAUCUUUCCAAAUAAAAAAGGCUGUUAAUUGAGGUUUCAUCAGGAAAGACUAAAAAGUCUGAAUAGUGAUAGAGAUGUAGCCGUGUUAGUCUAGUGUAGCUGAAACAAA
Non-coding RNA from Pelodiscus sinensis (Chinese soft-shelled turtle), 4717 nucleotides. Lineage: Eukaryota; Metazoa; Chordata; Testudines; Trionychidae. The record is from RefSeq and is a predicted model, not a curated record.